Molecule: transfer RNA, 74 nt
Filed under: Spirosomataceae bacterium
Lineage: Bacteria; Pseudomonadati; Bacteroidota; Cytophagia; Cytophagales; Spirosomataceae
Description: tRNA-Met
Rfam family: tRNA
About the family: Transfer RNA (tRNA) molecules are approximately 80 nucleotides in length. Their secondary structure includes four short double-helical elements and three loops (D, anti-codon, and T loops).
Source: RNAcentral
GGCGGGGUAGCUCAGUUGGUUAGAGCGUCGGAUUCAUAACCCGGAGGUCUGGGGUUCGAUUCCCCAUCCCGCUA